AUGAACGCUGGCGGCGUGCCUAAUACAUGCAAGUCGAGCGAACAGACGAGGAGCUUGCUCCUCUGACGUUAGCGGCGGACGGGUGAGUAACACGUGGAUAACCUACCUAUAAGACUGGGAUAACUUCGGGAAACCGGAGCUAAUACCGGAUAAUAUAUUGAACCGCAUGGUUCAAUAGUGAAAGACGGUUUUGCUGUCACUUAUAGAUGGAUCCGCGCCGCAUUAGCUAGUUGGUAAGGUAACGGCUUACCAAGGCUACGAUGCGUAGCCGACCUGAGAGGGUGAUCGGCCACACUGGAACUGAGACACGGUCCAGACUCCUACGGGAGGCAGCAGUAGGGAAUCUUCCGCAAUGGGCGAAAGCUUGACGGAGCAACGCCGCGUGAGUGAUGAAGGUCUUCGGAUCGUAAAACUCUGUUAUUAGGGAAGAACAAAUGUGUAAGUAACUAUGCACGUCUUGACGGUACCUAAUCAGAAAGCCACGGCUAACUACGUG
Molecule: ribosomal RNA, 496 nt
Filed under: uncultured bacterium
Lineage: Bacteria
Description: partial 16S ribosomal RNA
Rfam family: Bacterial small subunit ribosomal RNA
Source: RNAcentral